GUUUGCAACUGUUAGUUUUCUUCUUUAGUUUGAGAACUGUAGUUGUUGUUGGGUUCCAAUGGUCUAGUCACUUACUGCUUGAAAGCUGAUAGCUUUUUUUGAUAAGCCAAGUAAGGAGUUUUAUUUAUGUAACAGAAAACACACUGAAGUACUAGAGCUGAGCCAGAAUACACCAAGGGGGAACAAAAAAAACAACCACCUUGAAAAAUAAGAGCAUACAGGUAGAGAAAAGUCAAGCAAGGCUGCCAGAAAAACUCCUAGCUGCCAUACUGAACCGUGAAGAAAGAGAAUGGAAAAAGAAACCAGAACGCAGCUCUUAUAACAACAUGAAAGACGAAAGAGCCCAAACAGAAG
Molecule: unclassified non-coding RNA, 354 nt
Filed under: Hevea brasiliensis (rubber tree)
Lineage: Eukaryota; Viridiplantae; Streptophyta; Magnoliopsida; Malpighiales; Euphorbiaceae
Source: RNAcentral